Long non-coding RNA from Cydia fagiglandana, 1233 nucleotides. RefSeq lists it as uncharacterized. NCBI's taxonomy places the organism in Eukaryota, Metazoa, Arthropoda, Insecta, Lepidoptera, Tortricidae. The record is from RefSeq and is a predicted model, not a curated record. The transcript has 5 exons.
CGCUGCGCAGUUCAUGAGUUCACAUCAAAAUGGCGCUCGCUCACUCGCUGUGCGUAGAACGUAGUACUUGUGUAAACGUGUAAAUAAAUUGGAGACAGCAUACAAGAAAACAGAAAGGGUUCGCGGUUCAACUUUUUUCCAACGGUUUCCUCGGCGUCCUUUACAAAGUCCAGUUGAUAUCAUGUCCUGUCCACGUCCAGGGUGGAUCAGACCUGAUCUACAAAUCUUGGAGCAGCCGCUUUCGUCGUAUGCCAUUAAAAAAAUUAAAACAUGCCCGUUAUUAAAAUUUGGUCAGUAGACCAAACAAUCAAGAAAGCUGUUCCAAUAAUGGACCCAACUUUAAAAAAUAUCAUUGAAAAAGGUGAGUAAAUCUAAAUUAAUUUGACUUUUCGUAAUGAAAUAUUUUUUGUGUAAUUGUAGAAUGUAGUGUAUUGUAGAAUAGACUAUAAUUGGAUACCUACUGUUAAGCAUUAAUGUGCUGACUCAAACCACAUUUAUUUUGCAGUAUGAUGUCAAUUUAAUAAUUUGACGCUUGAAGUUGACAAGAUAGAGCUGAUGCUGAACCCUGGCUGUACCUAGUGGAACUCAGGAAACAUUAACCAGGGUUCAAGUUGCAGAGCUAUCCGAAAUAGCUGCGCCUAACAUUGUAUUUUUAGAUAAUGAAAAUAUAAUUAUAUUACUUGCUGGUAGAAAAAACGAUUGUUAGCGAAACUGAGAUUCUGCCUACGUCGUUACAACUAUUGAUGGCGGCUUACUGCAACUUGAAUAUGGAAUAUCCAGUGGACUGUCAAAACACAUUAGAAUUUAUACAAAGGUAUAUUUUUAAAAUAAAUCCUAAAGAAGGAAGUCAUAAGUAAUAGUUUUUGAUUUUUAAGAAGCGUUUUUCUAUUAAAAGACAUGUCAAGAUCGCUUAACUUCUUGCAAGUUCUUUCUAAUGCUAAAAAAACUAACUAUAAUUAAUGUCAGUAACAAACAUUUUCAGACAAUUCGUUACUUGAAAUGGUAUAGGUUUCACGCAUUAGAUUCACAUAGGCCUUAUUAACCGAAACUUUUAUAAGACUAAUUCAUAAGAAGUACUUAUGUACAUAAGAUAUAAUUUAUAGUGUCGUAUAUGUCUUCUACUUUUUGUACUCUGUCACAGAAUAAAUAAUAAUAAUAUGCACGUAGACGUGUAUAUACGCGUGUGCUCUAUAAUUUUAGUGUGUGAAAAUCAAUAAAUUUAUUUCUUUGUAA